CACUUUAAUUGCAUCUAAAGGAAUUAUUAACGACUUCCCCUGUGUGAAGACACUGACAGGAAUUGAGCUUCUGGACAUAGUAAACAGCCUAUCACCUGGUGUGGUUAAAGUCAGCUGUUUUUAUGAAGUCCAAACUGAAAGGUCUGAAUACAGUGACUCCAGCACCAUCACCAUACAGACUUCUCCUCCACCCAAACUCACCAUUGAUCCACCAGUGAUCACAGAGACAGACUCAGUCACACUGAGGUGUGAGCCUCCAUCGUCUGUUUCUGUGUCUCAGUGUCAUUUCUACACUGUGAGUGGACGGACAGUCAGAGACUUCCCAUGUCUGAAGACACUGACAGGAAGUGAGCUGCUGCAGAUGGCAAGUCUCACAUCACCUGCUGAAGUCAAAGUAACAUGUUGUUACACUGUAAAGCGUCAAUCUCCAUACAGUGAUGUAUCCUAUAUCACCGUACAAAG
Long non-coding RNA from Mugil cephalus (flathead mullet), 462 nucleotides. RefSeq lists it as uncharacterized. The transcript has 2 exons. The record is from RefSeq and is a predicted model, not a curated record. NCBI's taxonomy places the organism in Eukaryota, Metazoa, Chordata, Actinopteri, Mugiliformes, Mugilidae.